This 826-nucleotide long non-coding RNA is filed under the name Gallus gallus (chicken). RNAcentral's name for it is "long non-coding RNA NONGGAT012076". Lineage: Eukaryota; Metazoa; Chordata; Aves; Galliformes; Phasianidae. The record is from RNAcentral.
UCUGCAAAACGUUCUGGUGCUGCUGUGCACUGGUUUGAUCAGAUCUUGGCGAUUUCCUCCUGCGUGCACUCCAUGGCUCUGCUCUUGAGGAUGGAUGAUGCUACCCGGAACUGUGUCUGAUUCAGUGUGCUGAAGGAGGAGAGAAGGGGGAUGCGGAGUUGAUCUUCAAAACUGGCCCGCGUAUUUUGGGUCUGAGCCGUUGGCAGCACUGCUGUGCUGAUUCCCCUUCGUCUAAGCGUUCCUGACCGAUCCGUGCCUUGCCCGGAGCGGAAAGGUAAAGAGAGGUCCUUCCGUUUGUGUCGGAGAUGGCUUCUUUCCUGGGCUGGCUUUCUUUGCGGCGUAGGUACGCCGAACCCUGCCGCUUUCCAGUGCCCUUUUUCAGAAGGUUACGGUAUGUCCAGCGGUUGCCCGGGGCCAUUUGGGGGAAGGGAGCGCUGGGGGAGGGGGAUCUUUGUCUCUUCCCGGGCAGAUUUGAGAUCUUGCGAAAGCACAGCGCUUUUGUUGCAGGAGACUACAGUUUCCCUCAGCCAAAGUUUUAAUUACAUCAGGGGUCAAAGGCUCGCCGUUUUCAGCCCCCCGUUUGAAUGCGGAGGCAAUGGAACGGCUCGCCUUUGAGCGGAGGCAUUCACACUUCCCCGCACAUCUGCCCGCUCCGUGUCACACGCCGCUGCCCACCAUUGUGCUGCGGCCCCACGCUGCGAGCAAUGCGAGCCGGGCCGGGCUGCGCCUCUGCGCCGUGAUAAACCUCGGCGCAGCACAGCGGCAGCUUCGGCCCUGGCCUGCCGAAGUUUGCGUCCUUGUUUGUUGGUUGGCUGGUCGGUUGGUC